This 72-nucleotide transfer RNA is filed under the name Heliconius melpomene (postman butterfly). Its description in RNAcentral is "tRNA HMEL006289". It matches the Rfam family "tRNA". Rfam says of the family: Transfer RNA (tRNA) molecules are approximately 80 nucleotides in length. Their secondary structure includes four short double-helical elements and three loops (D, anti-codon, and T loops). Lineage: Eukaryota; Metazoa; Arthropoda; Insecta; Lepidoptera; Nymphalidae. The record is from RNAcentral.
GAACGUAUGGUUUUGUGGUCAGAGUACUUGGACGAUUUCCAAGAAGCGCAAGUUCAAAUCCCGCUACAUUCA